This 253-nucleotide ribosomal RNA is filed under the name uncultured bacterium. Its description in RNAcentral is "partial 16S ribosomal RNA". It matches the Rfam family "Bacterial small subunit ribosomal RNA", at positions 524 to 776 of the family's 1533-position model. The record is from RNAcentral.
UACGUAGGGUGCGAGCGUUGUCCGGAAUUAUUGGGCGUAAAGAGCUUGUAGGCGGUCUGUCGCGUCUGCUGUGAAAAUCCGGGGCUCAACCCCGGACUUGCAGUGGGUACGGGCAGACUAGAGUGUGGUAGGGGAGACUGGAAUUCCUGGUGUAGCGGUGAAAUGCGCAGAUAUCAAGAGGAACACCGAUGGCGAAGGCAGGUCUCUGGGCCACUACUGACGCUGAGAAGCGAAAGCAUGGGGAGCGAACAGG